UACAGAGGGUGCAAGCGUUAAUCGGAGUUACUGGGCGUAAAGGGCGCGUAGGCCGAUAUUUAAGUCGAUUGUGAAAUCCCUGGGCUUAACCUAGGAAUUGCAGUCGAUACUGAAUGUCUUGAGUAUGGUAGAGGAAAGUGGAAUUCUCGGUGUAGUGGUUAAAUACGUAGAUAUCGAGAAGAACACCAGUGGCGAAGGCGACUUUCUGGACCAAUACUGACGCUGAGGCGCGAAAGCGCGGGGAGCAAACAGG
Molecule: ribosomal RNA, 253 nt
Filed under: uncultured bacterium
Lineage: Bacteria
Description: partial 16S ribosomal RNA
Rfam family: Bacterial small subunit ribosomal RNA
Source: RNAcentral